AGAAUGACUCUCGGCAACGGAUAUCUAGGCUCUUGCAUCGAUGAAGAACGUAGCGAAAUGCGAUACUUGGUGUGAAUUGCAGAAUCCCGUGAACCAUCGAGUCUUUGAACGCAGGUUGCGCCCGAUGCCAUUAGGUUGAGGGCACGUCUGCCUGGGUGUCACAU
RNAcentral lists this ribosomal RNA (164 nucleotides) under Lathyrus pannonicus subsp. asphodeloides. RNAcentral's name for it is "5.8S ribosomal RNA". It matches the Rfam family "5.8S ribosomal RNA". Rfam says of the family: 5.8S ribosomal RNA (5.8S rRNA) is a component of the large subunit of the eukaryotic ribosome. It is transcribed by RNA polymerase I as part of the 45S precursor that also contains 18S and 28S rRNA. Lineage: Eukaryota; Viridiplantae; Streptophyta; Magnoliopsida; Fabales; Fabaceae. The record is from RNAcentral.